This 837-nucleotide ribosomal RNA is filed under the name Citrobacter werkmanii. RNAcentral describes it as "partial 23S ribosomal RNA". It matches the Rfam family "Bacterial large subunit ribosomal RNA", at positions 911 to 1746 of the family's 2925-position model. The record is from RNAcentral. Lineage: Bacteria; Pseudomonadati; Pseudomonadota; Gammaproteobacteria; Enterobacterales; Enterobacteriaceae.
UGUUUCGGCUAGGGGGUCAUCCCGACUUACCAACCCGAUGCAAACUGCGAAUACCGAAGAAUGUUAUCACGGGAGACACACGGCGGGUGCUAACGUCCGUCGUGAAGAGGGAAACAACCCAGACCGCCAGCUAAGGUCCCAAAGUCAUGGUUAAGUGGGAAACGAUGUGGGAAGGCACAGACAGCCAGGAUGUUGGCUUAGAAGCAGCCAUCAUUUAAAGAAAGCGUAAUAGCUCACUGGUCGAGUCGGCCUGCGCGGAAGAUGUAACGGGGCUAAACCAUGCACCGAAGCUGCGGCAGCGACACUAUGUGUUGUUGGGUAGGGGAGCGUUCUGUAAGCCGUUGAAGGUGUCCUGUGAGGGAUGCUGGAGGUAUCAGAAGUGCGAAUGCUGACAUAAGUAACGAUAAUGCGGGUGAAAAACCCGCACGCCGGAAGACCAAGGGUUCCUGUCCAACGUUAAUCGGGGCAGGGUGAGUCGACCCCUAAGGCGAGGCCGAAAGGCGUAGUCGAUGGGAAACAGGUUAAUAUUCCUGUACUUGGUGUUACUGCGAAGGGGGGACGGAGAAGGCUAUGUUGGCCGGGCGACGGUUGUCCCGGUUUAAGCGUGUAGGUGUGUGUUCCAGGUAAAUCCGGUUCACUUUAACACUGAGGCGUGAUGACGAGGCACUACGGUGCUGAAGUGACAAAUGCCCUGCUUCCAGGAAAAGCCUCUAAGCAUCAGGUAACACGAAAUCGUACCCCAAACCGACACAGGUGGUCAGGUAGAGAAUACCAAGGCGCUUGAGAGAACUCGGGUGAAGGAACUAGGCAAAAUGGUGCCGUAACUUCGGGAGAAGG